This is a long non-coding RNA of Pristis pectinata (smalltooth sawfish), 351 nucleotides long. RefSeq lists it as uncharacterized. The record is from RefSeq and is a predicted model, not a curated record. The transcript is spliced from 3 exons. NCBI's taxonomy places the organism in Eukaryota, Metazoa, Chordata, Chondrichthyes, Rhinopristiformes, Pristidae.
GAUAUAUGUUCAUUGACUCCACUGAUUUCAAAGCAAAGCAGCAGCUUUUCGAGAGAGAGAUAGAUUCCAUCCCACCAUGAAAGCAGAACAUCCCACCAUGGAAGCAGGACAUCCCACCAUGGAAGCAGGACAUCCUCGUCCCUCCCCAACCCUGCACCCUCUUACCCGACUCUUUUCCCCAUCAGUGAUUCCAGGUUCCCAGUGAUGGGAGAGAUUUGUAUUGACCAAUGGAAUUGGCAGCUCCAAGCGCCCAAUAUUCAGACGCUCCUGCAGCAGUGGCGAAGCGAAUUACUCACCUCGGGAAGGUUUCGGACCUGCGGUAGAGCUUUUCACUGUCGAACAAGGGGCUUU